This 460-nucleotide ribosomal RNA is filed under the name uncultured bacterium. RNAcentral's name for it is "partial 16S ribosomal RNA". It matches the Rfam family "Bacterial small subunit ribosomal RNA", at positions 338 to 795 of the family's 1533-position model. The record is from RNAcentral.
CCUACGGGAGGCUGCAGUGAGGAAUAUUGGUCAAUGGGCGCGAGCCUGAACCAGCCAAGUAGCGUGAAGGAUGACUGCCCUACGGGUUGUAAACUUCUUUUAUAAAGGAAUAAAGUGAGGCACGUGUGCCUUUUUGUAUGUACUUUAUGAAUAAGGAUCGGCUAACUCCGUGCCAGCAGCCGCGGUAAUACGGAGGAUCCGAGCGUUAUCCGGAUUUAUUGGGUUUAAAGGGAGCGUAGAUGGGUUGUUAAGUCUGGUGUUAAAGGCGGAAGCUCAACUUCCGUAGGGCACUGGAUACUGGCGAGCUUGAAUGCGGUAGAGGUAAAGGGAAUUCCUGGUGUAGCGGUGAAAUGCGUAGAUAUCAGGAGGAACAUCGGUGGCGUAAGCGCUUUACUGGGCCGUAAUUGACACUGAGGAACGAAAGCCGGGGUAGCAAAUGGGAUUAGAUACCCCUGUAGUC